CUCGCUAAAAGGAACCUAAUGGAUCGCACACACCAUAAAAGGUGGAGAUUGAAGAUUAAACGGAGAUGAGUAAGAAUGAUUAAAUGGUUUAAUCAUUUAAAUUAUGGCAAGGAUUAAUUAAUAUGUUAAUUAAUCAAACGAAUAAGUUCGUUAAAGACCUCGGGAUAGUUUUGGACCUUAAGGCCCAAUGGGCUUCGAACGUCAAGCCCAUUGACUUAAGUUGUAUGACAACUUAAUGAAUAAAGAUUCACAAAGGCCCAAAAGCCCAAAAAUCCCUAAGGUAGGCCGGCCAUGUUAGAUGAAUUAGGGUUUUGGUUCUUUAGGUCACUUAUUUGAAGGGACUAUAUAAAGGACUUUAUAGCCAAAUAUUCAUUAUGUGAUUAAGGGUUUUUAUUUUGGGGAAAAUUGGUGAGAAU
This 416-nucleotide long non-coding RNA is filed under the name Malus domestica (apple). Its description in RNAcentral is "long non-coding RNA (MDOM_LNC012747)". The record is from RNAcentral. Lineage: Eukaryota; Viridiplantae; Streptophyta; Magnoliopsida; Rosales; Rosaceae.